CAACAAUCUCCUGCUGACAGUUUUGACAAAGAGGUUUUGCCACCCAUUGCCUUCCUAAGCCACCCCACCCUGUCCACUGCUCUUCUAGCUUGGUGGGAGCUGCCAGGACGGUGCCUUUCCCAGGCACAAUAACUAUUGGGGAACAACUGUGUUUCACAAGGAGCACCACUGACCCUAGAGAUGUCACGCCUUGCCUUCGAAAUGGGCAACAGAGAAGGAUCUGGCCACCUGUAUGCAGAGCAUCAGCCCUUCUGGGGAGUUAUGAAGCUGGUGCUGAGAAGUUUUCAUGGUCUGAGACUUCUGGGACUUCAGUGGAAGCUCUCUUCAUUCCAGCCUCAUUCCCAGUGAAGGAUAGGAUGACACAAGCAAUGUC
Molecule: long non-coding RNA, 373 nt
Organism: Poecile atricapillus (Black-capped chickadee)
Lineage: Eukaryota; Metazoa; Chordata; Aves; Passeriformes; Paridae
Exons: 3
Source: RefSeq, a predicted model, not a curated record